UCGAUAGUUGUAAAAACUAAAACUCAUUUUUAUCCUUGCAUCAUGUCAUAUAUCUAAGUGAGAAGAAAAUCUCUUCGCUGGUAGAUAUAAAAAUUCGGUAAAACUAGUUUGUCUUCUCUUUAUAUUAGAUAAAAUUGUUUUUUUAAAGCAAAAAAAUGGUAACUAUGUCCCUUUAUACUAAUCUAUAUUACUUUAUGUCCCAUUAGACUAAUAUUUUUCAAAAUGGCAGUAAUGCCCUUAAAAUUGUAAAUUUUUAUUCCUUUUUCGUUUUUUUUUGUUUUUUUGUUCCUUUUUCGUUUUUUUAUGUUUUUUUUUUUAAAUCGAUUUUUUUUUUCAAAAUAUAAAAGUUAAUAUUCCCAAAUAUUUUGUUUCCAUAUUUUUAGGAACUGAUUUCUUAUCCGUAGAAUACAACUAAUAUGUAGAAAUCGGUUACUACAAUUUUUUAGAAUUAUAGUAAUGUUUAGAUUUUGAUUUCUACAUGUUUUAGAUUUAUAGUAAAUCUGUAGAAGUCAGUUUCUACGUGUUUUAGAUUUAUAUUAAUGUGUAGAUUUUGAUUUCUAAAGAUUUUAGAACGAUAGGUUAAGCGUGGAAUGUGUAUUCUAAAUAUUUUUAGAAUACUCCUAUUUACGUAGAUCACGUAUUCUAAACAUUGUAGAUUCAAUGAAAAAAGUGGAUUUCGUUUUCUACUUCGUAAAAUGCCAUUUCUACUUUAUUUAGAACAUAAUUUGAAAUUUAUAAUUUUAACUUUUUUAUAACUGGAAAAAAUAUCACUAAGUUCAUAUAGGUAUUUUAUCAAAAGUUACUAUUUUUUCAAUUUUUUUUGUUUGUAAAACUAUUUAUUAAAUUUAUUUUCAAAAAUAUUAAAGGGUGUUAUAGGAAAAUAUGACACAAAAUAUAGAUUAGUC
Molecule: long non-coding RNA, 905 nt
Filed under: Brassica rapa (field mustard)
Lineage: Eukaryota; Viridiplantae; Streptophyta; Magnoliopsida; Brassicales; Brassicaceae
Description: long non-coding RNA (BRAP_LNC005262)
Source: RNAcentral